GAUGAACGCUGGCGGCAUGCCUAACACAUGUAAGUCGAUCGGUAAGGCUCUUCGGAGUACACGAGAGGCGGACGGCUGAGUAACGCGUAGGAACACACCCUGCAGUGAGGGAUAAGACACCGAAAGGUGUUCUAAUACCGCAUACGGUCUUCGGAUUAAAGCAUUUAUGCGCUGAAGGAGUGGCCUGCGUCAUAUUAGAUAGUUGGUGAGGUAAUGGCUCACCAAGUCGAUGAUGUGUAGCUGGUCUGAGAGGAUGAUCAGCCAGACUGGAACUGAGACACGGUCCAGACUCCUACGGGAGGCAGCAGUGAGGAAUAUUUCACAAUGAGCGAAAGCUUGAUGGAGCAAUGCCGCGUGCAGGAUGAAGGCCCUCGGGUUGUAAACUGCUUUUAUAAGAGAAGAUUAUGACGGUAACUUAUGAAUAAGGGACGGCUAACUACGUG
This 443-nucleotide ribosomal RNA is filed under the name uncultured bacterium. Its description in RNAcentral is "partial 16S ribosomal RNA". It matches the Rfam family "Bacterial small subunit ribosomal RNA", at positions 28 to 507 of the family's 1533-position model. The record is from RNAcentral.